This 309-nucleotide ribosomal RNA is filed under the name uncultured archaeon. Its description in RNAcentral is "bacterial SSU rRNA". It matches the Rfam family "Archaeal small subunit ribosomal RNA", at positions 526 to 834 of the family's 1478-position model. The record is from RNAcentral.
CGGCCGUGUAAGUUCUCUGUGAAAUCCGGCAGCUUAACUGUCGGGCGUGCAGGGAAUACUGCAUGGCUUGGGGCCGGACGGCGCUGAGGCUAUUCCCGGGGUAGGAGUGAAAUCCUGAAAUCCCGGGAGGAGCACCGGUGGCGAAAGCGCUCAGCGAGGACGGACCCGACGGUGAGGGACGAAAGCCAGGGGAGCGAAGCGGAUUAGAUACCCGCGUAGUCCUGGCCGUAAACAAUGCCCGCUUGAUGUCGGCUAUCCUCCGAGGAUGGCCGGUGCCAAAGCGUAAGCGUUAAGCGGGCCGCCUGGGGA